AAUCAACGCUGGCGGCGUGCCUAACACAUGCAAGUCGAACGCGAAAAUCCUUUCGGGGAUGAGUAGAGUGGCGUCCGGGUGAGUAACGCGUGGGUAAUCUGCCUUUGGGUGGGGGAUAACCCAGGGAAACUUGGGCUAAUACCGCAUAAUGCAGCGGCUCGACAUCGAGACAGUUGUUAAAGCAGCGAUGCGCCUAAAGAGGAGCCUGCGUCUGAUUAGCUUUGNGGUGAGGUAAUGGCUCACCAAGGCUACGAUCAGUAGCUGGUCUGAGAGGACGGCCAGCCACAAUGGCACUGAAACACGGGCCAUACUCCUACGGGAGGCAGCAGUGGGGAAUUUUGCGCAAUGGGCGAAAAGCCUGACGCAGCAACGCCGCGUGAAGGAUGAAAUCCCUCGGGAUGUAAACUUCGCAAGUCUGGGAAGAAACAAA
RNAcentral lists this ribosomal RNA (430 nucleotides) under uncultured bacterium. RNAcentral describes it as "bacterial SSU rRNA". It matches the Rfam family "Bacterial small subunit ribosomal RNA", at positions 32 to 454 of the family's 1533-position model. The record is from RNAcentral.